ACGUACACUCCUGCGGGAGGCAGCAGUGGGGAAUAUUGCACAAUGGGCGCAAGCCUGAUGCAGCCAUGCCGCGUGUAUGAAGAAGGCCUUCGGGUUGUAAAGUACUUUCAGCGGGGAGGAAGGCGAUAAGGUUAAUAACCUUGUCGAUUGACGUUACCCGCAGAAGAAGCACCGGCUAACUCCGUGCCAGCAGCCGCGGUAAUACGGAGGGUGCAAGCGUUAAUCGGAAUUACUGGGCGUAAAGCGCACGCAGGCGGUCUGUCAAGUCGGAUGUGAAAUCCCCGGGCUCAACCUGGGAACUGCAUUCGAAACUGGCAGGCUAGAGUCUUGUAGAGGGGGGUAGAAUUCCAGGUGUAGCGGUGAAAUGCGUAGAGAUCUGGAGGAAUACCGGUGGCGAAGGCGGCCCCCUGGACAAAGACUGACGCUCAGGUGCGAAAGCGUGGGGAGCAAACAGGAUUAGAAACCCUAGUAGUCCCAUGAU
RNAcentral lists this ribosomal RNA (481 nucleotides) under uncultured organism. RNAcentral describes it as "partial 16S ribosomal RNA". It matches the Rfam family "Bacterial small subunit ribosomal RNA", at positions 329 to 801 of the family's 1533-position model. The record is from RNAcentral.